This 468-nucleotide ribosomal RNA is filed under the name uncultured bacterium. Its description in RNAcentral is "partial 16S ribosomal RNA". It matches the Rfam family "Bacterial small subunit ribosomal RNA", at positions 28 to 507 of the family's 1533-position model. The record is from RNAcentral.
GACGAACGCUGGCGGCGUGCUUAACACAUGCAAGUCGAACGGAAAGGCCCUGCUUUUGUGGGGUGCUCGAGUGGCGAACGGGUGAGUAACACGUGAGUAACCUGCCCUUGACUUUUGGAUAACUUCAGGAAACUGGGGCUAAUACCGGAUAGGAGCUCCUGCUGCAUGGUGGGGGUUGGAAAGUUUCGGCGGUUGGGGAUGGACUCGCGGCUUAUCAGCUUGUUGGUGGGGUAGUGGCUUACCAAGGCUUUGACGGGUAGCCGGCCUGAGAGGGUGACCGGCCACAUUGGGACUGAGAUACGGCCCAGACUCCUACGGGAGGAAGCAGUGGGGAAUAUUGCACAAUGGGCGGAAGCCUGAUGCAGCAACGCCGCGUGCGGGAUGACGGCCUUCGGGUUGUAAACCGCUUUCGCCUGUGACGAAGCGUGAGUGACGGUAAUGGGUAAAGAAGCACCGGCUAACUACGUG